RNAcentral lists this non-coding RNA (25 nucleotides) under Drosophila erecta. Lineage: Eukaryota; Metazoa; Arthropoda; Insecta; Diptera; Drosophilidae. RNAcentral also lists the same sequence under 1 other name. The record is from RNAcentral.
UUCUAUUUGAUGAAAUCCCUUUGCC